GCCUUCGUGGUGUAACGGUUAGCACACUCGGCGCGUAUUCGAGAGGUCCAGGUUCGAGUCCCGUCGAAGGCA
RNAcentral lists this transfer RNA (72 nucleotides) under Stegodyphus mimosarum. It matches the Rfam family "tRNA". From Rfam's summary of the family: Transfer RNA (tRNA) molecules are approximately 80 nucleotides in length. Their secondary structure includes four short double-helical elements and three loops (D, anti-codon, and T loops). Lineage: Eukaryota; Metazoa; Arthropoda; Arachnida; Araneae; Eresidae. The record is from Rfam by way of RNAcentral.